Molecule: unclassified non-coding RNA, 212 nt
Filed under: Glomeraceae sp.
Lineage: Eukaryota; Fungi; Glomeromycota; Glomeromycetes; Glomerales; Glomeraceae
Description: partial contains 5.8S ribosomal RNA and internal transcribed spacer 2
Source: RNAcentral
GUGAAUCAUCGAAUUUUUGAACGCAAAUUGCACUCUCUUCGGUGCGUGUGCCUGUUUGAGGGUCAGUAUUAAUAAAAAUAGGUGUCUUGCUUCUUUGUGUCGCUCCGGAGUCUGGGUCAUCUUAAUAUCCUUUAGGUUUUAAGAGGCUUGAUAUUGACUUUUUUUGUGCAUUUUCGUUGUCCAUAACUUCUUUUUUUUAUUCGUCUGUCUUA